This 2809-nucleotide long non-coding RNA is filed under the name Vitis vinifera (wine grape). RNAcentral describes it as "long non-coding RNA (VVIN_LNC003236)". Lineage: Eukaryota; Viridiplantae; Streptophyta; Magnoliopsida; Vitales; Vitaceae. The record is from RNAcentral.
UAUUCUUUGCUUCGUAAAAUCUCCGGUAAGUCAAAAUCUCUUAUCUACCAUCUUCAUUUUUUUUAUUAAUGCAAAAAACUUUGUUAGUAUAAUUGUUUUAUAUCUCUUGAUUUAGUAUAUCUAUGAUGUGGGUUUUGUAAAUGGUGUUUUUUAUUGAGUUCCAGGGAAGUAAAAACUAGGUUUAACAUUCUAACAUAUUUUUUGUUUCAUUGCUAAUAAGCCCCAAAACAAAUGAAAACAAGAAAAAUGAAUUAUUUUUAAAAAUUUUGUCUAAUUGAGAAUGAGAGAUACACUAGUUUGUAGUAAUUUUUCGCAUGAAAUAGUAUUUUAUUGAAGACUUGACUAUAUUUGAUACUUUUUUCCACCGUGCUAGGAGCUUUUUGGUGAAGUCUAACAAUAGAGAUUGACAUCUACUACAAGAUGAUACUCAAUUAAUCCAAAAGCACUUAAGUUAUUUAGGGUUUUCUUCGGUUAACCUAAGAAAACAUUCCCACUUUCUUUGUAUUGAGUCACCUAAAUAGAAUAGGAUAUUGGGUAUCAGAGUCGUAAAGGGUAUUAUAAAUAUGACUUUUUUUUUUUAGAGUCACCUACAUGGAAUGAAUUAUUGGUAGGUGAACAAAAUAUUGGGGUGAUUGUAAUAGUUGAAUUAGUAAAUGGAAGAUAAGUGUAUGUUGCUUUGUUUAUUCUAUAAAAACAAUAAUUUUAGUAGUUGAAAUUUACAUGCUUUGUUGUUUUAUAAAAACAAUAAUUUUAGUAUUUGAAAUUUUAAAAUGUGAAUGAAAUGCCUGAAAAUAUGUUUUGAAAAAUAGGAUAGUAAUAAAUGGAAAAUAACUCAUUUCCUAAAAAUAUUUUGAUAAAUUAAAAUAAUAUGUGGUUAAAAUAUAUUUUUGUUAAAGUAUUUAAAAAUGAAUCAAAAUAUUAAUAAUUGUUAUUUUGUUUGAAAAUAAUUUAGGAAUAUAAAAUAAUAUUGGGGAUAAUUUUUGAGUUUAAAUUGGGUUAUAAAUGGUUAAUUUUUUUAGGACUGUCCUUUUUGAAAAUAAUCCAAUGAUAAUUUUUUUAAAUAAGAAUGUUGAAAAUAAUUUUAAAAAUAAAAUUUUGUUGGUAAUGAUUUUUCUAAAAGUAUUUUAGGCAUAAAUGGAAAUUUCUUGUAUGAAAAUAAGAGAAUUUAUAUAUAUAUAUAUAUAUAUAUAUAUAUAAUAGACAUAAAAAUAGACUUCUUUGAUAUUUAAUAAACAAGUGAAUUUUUCUCUAAAAAAAGAAUAAAAUAAGAAUUUCUCUAGAUAAUAAAAUAAUUUAUAUAUGAGAUAGUUUUCAAUAAGAAAGUUUUGAAAAUAAAUUUGGGAUAAAAUAUUUUUUAGUAAGUUUUGUUUAGAUAAUUCAAGAAUAAAGUGGUUUAUUAACUUUUCUUAAAAAAUAACAUUCUUCUUUCUUUUUUGAAUUGAUCAAUUUUUUUAGAAAUAAAAUUGUUAGAUUCUAUUUUUUGUAAAUGUUUAAGAAAUUCUAAAAAAUUCUUUAAAAAUGAAAUGACCUUUCUACCACAUUCCUUGUAAUAAAUAAUUAUUUUUUUUAUACAUAUUGUAAAGUAAAAAAAAGUCUUUGUUUAGUUAACCUAAGAAGACAUUCCUACUUUUCUUUGCGUUGAGAGUCACCUAAAUGGAAUAAAAUAUUCAAUAUCAUAGGAGAGUAAAAAGUAUUGUAGAAAUGAUUUUGUUGAGAGAGUUAUCUAAAUGGAAUGAGAUAUUGGUAGGUGAAUAAAAUAUUAUGGUGAUUGUAAUAGUUGACUUAGUGAGUGGAGGAGAAGUGUAUGCUUCUUUGUUUAUUCUAUAAAAACAAUAAUUUUAGUAGUUGAAAACGUGUAUGAAAUGACUGAAAAUAUUUUUUGAAAAAUAAGAAAAUAAUAAAUGGAUAAUAGCUCAUUUCCUAAAAAUCUUUUGAUAAAUUAAAAUAACUUGCAGUUAAAAUAUAUUCUUAUGAAAGUAUUUAAAAAUGAACCAAUAUAUUAAUAAUUGUUAUUUUGUUUAAAAAUAAUUUAAUAGUCAAAAAAUAAUACUGAGUUCAAAUAUGACUACUUUGUUAUGAGAUUCAUUAAAGAAAUAAUUGUUGAUUUUACAGUUAUUGCAUCAAAGGUUUUACUCAUUUAAUGAAUUGUACAUAAUUUCAUACUUUCAAUUAUUGUGAUAUUAAUGUUAUUCUCAUUUGAUUUCAGUUUGAUGACAAAUAAAACAUAUUCUCAAGUAGAAUUUGAUGAAAUUAGAGAAAAAUAGAUUACUUUUGUGUUAUAACUAAUCAUGAAUCAUAUUGAUGUAUUGUGAUCAUUCAUGGUAAGUCCCUUAGUUGUUAUAUGAUUGAAUUUUCCAUUGAUAUUGUAUAACAUUACUUAUUCUUUACGAACUAUUUUUAUACCAAAAUGAGAAAAAGGAAAAAGAAAAAGAAUACUUAGAUUUGUUUAUUGUUUAUAGCAUCACAUUUUUAUUUUCAAUAAGAACUCUAAAACUAAUUAAACUAUGAAAUGCAGGUAUACACUCUUGGGAGGACAAUAUGAAGAAUAAAAAGAAAGGAGAAAGAGGCAACAAGAUUUAGGUUUUUAGAUAUGACUCUUAUGUCAUACAUUAUAGGACAUAAAUGUUACUUUAUUUGGAAUUGAGAAUUUUGGGUUUUUGGAUGCAACUCUUGUGUCAUUUUAUGGUUAGCCGGUUUUAUGCAUAUGAAAUGCAAGUAUACAUGAAUGUUGGGAAGCUUAAUAUUUCUAAAUCAUGUUUUAAUGUGUAUUCACUUUUCUUUUUUAGUUUUGGUGGGUUUGAUGUGUUUG